UACGGAGGAUGCGAGCGUUAUCCGGAUUUAUUGGGUUUAAAGGGUGCGUAGGCGGACUGUCAAGUCAGCGGUAAAAUACGGGGGCUCAACCUCCGCCCGCCGUUGAAACUGACGGUCUUGAGUGGGCGAGAAGUAUGCGGAAUGCGUGGUGUAGCGGUGAAAUGCAUAGAUAUCACGCAGAACUCCGAUUGCGAAGGCAGCAUACCGGCGCCCAACUGGCGCUGAAGCACGAAAGCGUGGGUAUCGAACAGG
RNAcentral lists this ribosomal RNA (252 nucleotides) under uncultured bacterium. RNAcentral describes it as "partial 16S ribosomal RNA". It matches the Rfam family "Bacterial small subunit ribosomal RNA", at positions 524 to 776 of the family's 1533-position model. The record is from RNAcentral.